GGUAUUUUGACCGUGCAAAGGUAGCGCAAUCACUUGUCUCUUAAAUAGAGACCUGUAUGAAUGGCUAGACGAGGGCUUAACUGUCUCCCCCCUCCGGUCAGUGAAAUUGAUCUAUCCGUGCAGAAGCGGGUAUAAAUACACAAGACGAGAAGACCCUUUGGAGCUUAAGGUACAAACUUAACCACGUUAAACGACUUCACAAAGAGCAAGAACUUAGUGGCAAUAAUGUUUUACCUUCGGUUGGGGCGACCAUGGAGGAAAAACAAGCCUCCAAGUGGGCCGGGCCAAACCCCCUUCCCUAAAGCCAAGAGAUACACCUCUAGGCCGCAGAACAUCUGACCAAAAAUGAUCCGGCUAUAAAGUCGAUCAACGGACCAAGUUACCCAAGGGAUAACAGCGCAAUCCCCUCCCAGAGUCCAUAUCUACGAGGGGGUUUACGACCUCGAUGUUGGAUCAGGACAUCCUAAUGGUGCAGCCGCUAUUAAGGGUUCGUUUGUUCAACGAUUAAAGUCCUACGUGAUCUGAGU
This 527-nucleotide ribosomal RNA is filed under the name Phoxinus sp. 1 LC-2017. RNAcentral's name for it is "partial 16S ribosomal RNA". It matches the Rfam family "Bacterial large subunit ribosomal RNA", at positions 1935 to 2610 of the family's 2925-position model. The record is from RNAcentral. Lineage: Eukaryota; Metazoa; Chordata; Actinopteri; Cypriniformes; Leuciscidae.